Long non-coding RNA from Salmo salar (Atlantic salmon), 1471 nucleotides. RefSeq lists it as uncharacterized. The record is from RefSeq and is a predicted model, not a curated record. NCBI's taxonomy places the organism in Eukaryota, Metazoa, Chordata, Actinopteri, Salmoniformes, Salmonidae.
AACUCUUUCUGAUAUUUACAGACCAUGUGUUGAAAACCUCCCUAUGGACUUUUUUUCAGCCUCGUCUAUGAUUGAUCGUAAAGCGGAAGUCUUUUGAAAAAAGCGCUUUGUGUCUGUGACAAGCAGUUUCUGGCGAAACAAGAAGAGGAACAUGUCACGCAGUGCAAAUCAUCCCGGUCAAGAGAACAAUGAAAGCAACAUGUUGAACAUCAUGUUACUGGGACAGGCAGGCACUGGAAAGAGUGCGAGUGGAAACACAAUCCUUGGAACAAACUGUUUUAAGUCUUAUGCAAGCUCUGUACCUGUUACUAGAGAGUGUCAGGUAGAACAGAGGCAGUUAUUUGGGACAGAGGUUAAGGUCAUUGAUACCCCUGACUUCUUCCAUGAAUAUGUAAAAAAUUCUGACAAAGAUUGUAAAAAGCUCUGUGGGGUUGAGUCUAGUGUGUACUUAUUGGUCCUUCAGAUUGACCGAUUCACAGAGGGUGAGAGAGGGAUAUUAGAACAAUUGGAAGAAGCCUUGGGUGAAAUCAGAGAGAAAACGAUUGUUCUCUUCACUUUUGGAGAGCAACUGACAAAUAUCACCUUGGAUGACUAUAUCAGAAAAGCAGAACCUCAUCUGAAGGAAAUACUAAGUCACUGCGGGAACAGGUAUCAUCUGUUCAAAAACACAAAACCAGACCGUCAGCAGGUAGAGGGUCUGAUGGAGAAGAUACGCAAACUCCUGGGCCAGGAUAACAUGUUCCCAGAUUUGAGAAUGUCCUCUCUACGCGUUCUGUUAGGGAUAGGGUUAGCGAUUGUGGGAGUAAUUGUGGGAGUAAUCAUUUAUGAAUUAUUUGACAUGACAUGAAAGCUUUCAGCUAAAUGAGUAAGUGCACUCAUUCUAGAGUCCCGUUUCACUGUUUAUAGCUGCUGACAGCAGUGGCAGUUAGCCUAGAGGUUAAGAGCGUUGGGCCAGUAGCUCAAAGGUUGCUGGUUCGAUUCCCUGAGACGACUAGGUGAAACAUCUGUCAAUGUACCCUUGAGCAAGGCACUUAACCGUAGUUGCUCUCGAUAAGAGUGUCUGUUUAAACGUGGCAGGUAUUGAGAAUGAUGUAUGCUUGGUGUAUUUUCUUUAACCCAUGUUGUUUACGUUUUGUGACUUGUUUUACUGUUGUUUAAAAAAAUAUCAAUUAUUUUUGGUGUAAGACAACACCAUUAUUCUGUUAUGAGAAUUAAUGUUUAAUUACUGUCAUCAAUUAACCAAUGUUUAUGCUGGAAACAACAAGACUCACUAAUUACUUACAUUUAUCCCCUGCUGUUUAAUCACACAAUACCAAGCUCAAUUUGUUUCAGAAGGAAAUGAAAUGUUAAUAAUAUAAAUGUAAAAUGUGAUGUAUUAAAGUAAACCUGAGGAAGCAGUGACACUGUCCACAAAUCUCUUCUAUGUGUAUCAAGCAUGCACAUUAGGAGAAUAAAAUAUUUUAUAACAAUA